AUGGCUAGUGCUAGAGUGGUUGCCAUGUUCUACCUUGUAGUUUCUGUGACGGUCUCUUUUUUCCCAAACUAUACAUGGGCAAGUAAGUCUCAAGCUGCCAUUGAAAAAGAUGAGGUGAUGGAACAUUGUAAGUUCACUAGAAAAGGUGCGCACUGGCCAUUCGAACCAAGCAAGGCAUGCUGCCAAGUAGUGAUGCGUUCAGUGAACCUCCUAGCAAUUUGCAACGCGUUUACCGCCAUAGAUUUGGCACAGAUCGAUCUACAGAGGUGGGCUGCCGUCACUCAUUCGUGCGGUAACGCGUUGCAUGAAGGAGACAAUUGUGAAAUUAGUUAA
RNAcentral lists this ribosomal RNA (333 nucleotides) under Triticum aestivum (bread wheat). RNAcentral's name for it is "partial small subunit ribosomal RNA". The record is from RNAcentral. Lineage: Eukaryota; Viridiplantae; Streptophyta; Magnoliopsida; Poales; Poaceae.